AAGGCCAUGGGGUGUAGGGCAUAGUUGCAAGCCCCACUCGCUGUCACUGUCUUCUCUUAAAUUGUGGGCUUUUGAAGGCUAGUCCUCUCUUCUGGGCCCUGGAAACUGAGGUGCUGUGCAGUAUAAUUCCUAAUAUGAAUUUCAAGUCAAGGGAAAACAACCUAGCUGCUGCUCUCCAAAGCCCCUCUGAGUCAAAGAAACAGCCUGAUGCUGAUGGAUGGUGACUUGCAUGGCCUGACCCCCGCCCAUGGUCCAGCUUUCCUCCAGCUGAGGGAAACUCUCAGCUCCAAUUGGAAGCAUUGGUAUAGUCUCUGGUUCGGUUGUUAAUUCAUAAUUAAAAUUCCUAGUUGCUCAGU
Long non-coding RNA from Neopelma chrysocephalum (saffron-crested tyrant-manakin), 356 nucleotides. RefSeq lists it as uncharacterized. The transcript is spliced from 2 exons. The record is from RefSeq and is a predicted model, not a curated record. Lineage: Eukaryota; Metazoa; Chordata; Aves; Passeriformes; Pipridae.